This is a long non-coding RNA of Otolemur garnettii (small-eared galago), 942 nucleotides long. RefSeq lists it as uncharacterized. The transcript has 2 exons. NCBI's taxonomy places the organism in Eukaryota, Metazoa, Chordata, Mammalia, Primates, Galagidae. The record is from RefSeq and is a predicted model, not a curated record.
GGUCUGUACCUUGCGGAUGGUGGAGGCGCGCAAGCUGUCGCCCACCUGCACUAAAUUUCUUCGGAGACACAGCGAACACCGACCCCUUCGCGGUUCCAGCUGCCAGCACGGAGCUUGGGACCGGCGAAUAAGGGCGCAUGCGCCGCUCUGCCCCGCCUCUCGGCGCAUGUUAGCCCGCGCCCCACCUCCCGGCGCACGUUAACCCGCGCCCCGCCUCCGGCGCACGCGCGUUACGUCCUUAACGGAGGGGGUGGGGCGGUAGUUUGAGCGCGCCGAGAAGGACUUGGAACGGAUGAACUCCAAGGUGCGCAAUAUUUUUGGUGGCAAUUUUUGCUGAACUUGAACUUCCUAAGUUUUUUCUUCCAUCCCUAUUUGUGAAGACUCCAGGGAGUGAGUGCAAAUAUUUGUUUUUUAGCUGGAUGCGAUUGCCACCCUGCACCUCUUCUCCCUGGGUAAAUUCAAAAUUUAUAUAAAAGUUAAAGGAGCUCUCAGAAGUGCAAGUUUGUCCCCAAAGAUCCAUACGGUUUUCGGAUUUGUUCUGCUUUAUCUGCAUCGAGACGCUACAAGCCUGUCUGAGCUGGUAUCUCCAGAAGCGGAUGCCAAGAACUACUGGUCACGUUCUGUCUGUGCUCUGAGCAACGUGCCCAGCUGUUUUCUGCGCUUAAAUUACCGUGUCUGCUCGAUCUAAUUAACCCAGAUGUUAAAACACUGGUCCAAGAGAGCGAAGAAACUAUGUGUGGAAUUUACCCCUGGGCGGACUUCUCAGUUGCCUGACCUGAUGUCCUGGGAAUCCCAGAAUCCAAAGCUUGCAAUCUUUGCUUUCCAUAGCUCAGUAGCCUGUGAAAUGUUCAGGGUGGGGGUUGGGUCGCAAUAGUUUAAGGCCAGAGCUUAGCUGCCAAAGCUAAGCUAAAAGGUGAGGCAAUAAAAUGAUCUAAUAUGAAA